This is an RNA transcript of Zea mays, 179 nucleotides long. It is a transcript of the gene named PLN03139 superfamily protein pseudogene, with no coding region annotated. NCBI's taxonomy places the organism in Eukaryota, Viridiplantae, Streptophyta, Magnoliopsida, Poales, Poaceae. The record is from RefSeq and is marked validated. The transcript is spliced from 2 exons.
CUCAUUCCCAUUUCUCAGGAUAUGGUGGUGAUGUGUGGUUCCCACAGCCAGCACCAAAGGAUCACCCCUGGCGCUACAUGCCUAACCAUGCCAUGACCCCUCACAUCUCUGGGACUACAAUUGAUGCGCAGCUGCGGUAUGCGGAUGGUGUGAGGGACAUGCUGGAUAGGUAUUUCAAA